RNAcentral lists this ribosomal RNA (764 nucleotides) under Larkinella rosea. RNAcentral's name for it is "bacterial SSU rRNA". It matches the Rfam family "Bacterial small subunit ribosomal RNA", at positions 1 to 767 of the family's 1533-position model. The record is from RNAcentral. Lineage: Bacteria; Pseudomonadati; Bacteroidota; Cytophagia; Cytophagales; Spirosomataceae.
UUUACAAUGGAGAGUUUGAUCCUGGCUCAGGAUGAACGCUAGCGGCAGGCCUAAUACAUGCAAGUCGAACGGAUGUCCUUCGGGGCAUUAGUGGCGUACGGGUGCGUAACGCGUAAACAAUCUACCUCAUACUGGGGGAUAGCCCUGGGAAACCGGGAGUAAGCCCGCAUGGCACCACGAGAUUUCAUGGUUUUGUGGUUAAAGAUUUAUCGGUAUGAGAUGAGUUUGCGUCUGAUUAGCUAGUUGGCGGGGUAACGGCCCACCAAGGCGAUGAUCAGUAGGGGCUCUGAGAGGAGCGGCCCCCACACUGGCACUGAGACACGGGCCAGACUCCUACGGGAGGCAGCAGUAGGGAAUAUUGGGCAAUGGACGGAAGUCUGACCCAGCCAUGCCGCGUGCAGGAAGACGGCGCUCAGCGUUGUAAACUGCUUUUAUCUGGGAAGAAAAGAAGCCCUGCGGGGUUUUGUGACGGUACCAGAGGAAUAAGCACCGGCUAACUCCGUGCCAGCAGCCGCGGUAAUACGGAGGGUGCAAGCGUUGUCCGGAUUUAUUGGGUUUAAAGGGUGCGUAGGUGGCUUUUUAAGUCAGACCUGAAAGUGGGCCGCUUAACGGCACAGGGUGGUUUGAUACUGAAGAGCUUGAAGAGGGUGGAGGCCGCCGGAACGGAUCGUGUAGCGGUGAAAUGCAUAGAGAUGAUCCAGAACCCCGAUUGCGAAGGCAGGCGGCUACGCCCCACUUGACACUGAGGCACGAGAGCAUGGGGA